UUCUUUCAGGAGCUUUUGAACAUUAAAAAUGCAUUCAGUGACCCUGGCUAAUUGGGGGUGACUUCGAUGUCACCAAAUCUCCUGAUGAGCUUGAAGGUCAGCCCCAGUCGACAAGAGACCGCCUUUCCUUGGAUUUUAUUACUUCUCUUGAUCUAAUUGAUCGGAGCUCAAGUGGAGGGACUUCACCUGGACCAAUGGUCGUCAUCAACCCUCUAUGGCCAGACUGGAUCAAUAAUUCCUUCUCUCCCAGGAAUCGGAAGUUCUCUUCCCUACUUCCUUUCAAAAUGCCUUGGCU
RNAcentral lists this long non-coding RNA (295 nucleotides) under Elaeis guineensis (African oil palm). RNAcentral describes it as "long non-coding RNA (EGUI_LNC013404)". The record is from RNAcentral. Lineage: Eukaryota; Viridiplantae; Streptophyta; Magnoliopsida; Arecales; Arecaceae.